UUUUACACAAAGGUAUUUUUCUUGUGUAGAUGUAUAAACACUCAACUUUUUACCAUCGGAAGUUUUCUGACCUGAUACAUCCUUUAAUGACUUCAUUUCCCACAAACUUCUAUAAAAAGUCUUUAUUCAAGCAGAACGGAAACACUUAAACGACGUUCGUGCUGCCUUUUGGUCGCGUGGGAACAAACAUCCCGUAAAACACAAUGCUUGUUUAUCAGCGGCUUUGUCGUGUAGCCUGAUUGCGUGCUUUUGACGGUUGCCGCACAGAUUGCGCGCAGAAGCACCAGGCGCUGAGCCCCCCCCCCCCCUGUCAGCAAUUGCCAUCUGCCGCCUCUUUUUCACUUUCAAAACCAUCAGAAUAUUCCCCGCACACAGACCGCUGUUCAAAUAGCGUCUCGAAAAAAAAAGCAGCUGCGCAGAAAUCAGCCCUCUUUCCGCAUUUUGCGCUCAGCCGACGAGAGCCGCGCGACCGCUUUGCACGCGAGCCGUCUGCGGCUGAGAGGAGGGCUGCGGGCUCAGGGAGACCAAGCGGAUUUGAAUUAAGCACCGGAUAACACACAACGACUUGUGCAUCCCUUCGGCGAAGGAGGGAGGACGCUGUUUUGUGUCUUGGGAGCCCUGGGUUUGGAGAAGGGGGGAGAGAAGAGGAGGAAGAGGAGAGGAGCGGAGAAUGAGCUAUUUCUUGUACCGGCAGAGGCAGCAGCCAGGACCCGCCAGCCGCUAAGAAGCCCGCCGGUGAUAAUCCGGGCAGAGACACCGGAGGCACAGACCGCAGCAGCAGCAGCAGCCCGCAGGACACCGCGGCGAUGAAAGUGAAGAAAGGCUGCAACGCGACCGACGCGGGGGUCCCGGUGACCACGGAGGAGGACCUGCUCGGCGGCUCGGGGGUCACUCCGGAGGAUGUUCUGGGCUUGCAGAAGAUCACGGAGAAGCCGUCACUGAAGGCAAUGGGACGCGUGUGUGAAUCACCACAGCAACGCAGAUACACGCUUGAAUCACCACGGCAACGUGAAGCGUCUCCCUGUGGUUACAGCCGUUGGAACACGCAUCUGUGUUCUCCUACACAUUUCCUCCUUUACUUUCCUCCUCUCUUCUCCUCUGCUUCGCCAGUAAACAUGCUGUCACUUAAUGGAUGAGACGAAUCGGACAAACUCCCACUUGCUUGUGGCGGUUAAACAAAGCAAGAAGCAGCUUGAAGAAAGCCACUGCAGCCCCUCUGUUGUGUUGUGACUCGUUUGUCUCUGGUCUCCUGCUGCUGCUCAUUCUCAGGUGGCUGAAAUAGAUUCCCUCCCGAAGUGGCAUGGUGCACAUUUGACCAAACUCGGAGUUCAGUUAUCCUUGACAACAGUCGUGGGUCAAAAACGUUGUUGUUUUUGAG
Molecule: long non-coding RNA, 1378 nt
Organism: Gasterosteus aculeatus aculeatus (three-spined stickleback)
Lineage: Eukaryota; Metazoa; Chordata; Actinopteri; Perciformes; Gasterosteidae
Source: Ensembl